GGUUGGGUCCUGUGCGAUUCCAUGGUGUGAAUCCUGUCAGGUCCGGAAGGAAGCAGCAGUAAGCAUAUGUUGGAAGGUGCUGCAGGAUUACCUGGCUUGA
Molecule: signal recognition particle RNA, 100 nt
Filed under: Clostridiales bacterium
Lineage: Bacteria; Bacillati; Bacillota; Clostridia; Eubacteriales
Description: signal recognition particle sRNA small type
Rfam family: Bacterial small signal recognition particle RNA
About the family: The signal recognition particle (SRP) is a universally conserved ribonucleoprotein involved in the co-translational targeting of proteins to membranes.
Source: RNAcentral